This 3583-nucleotide long non-coding RNA is filed under the name Malus domestica (apple). RNAcentral's name for it is "long non-coding RNA (MDOM_LNC009953)". The record is from RNAcentral. Lineage: Eukaryota; Viridiplantae; Streptophyta; Magnoliopsida; Rosales; Rosaceae.
AUAAAUGACCAAUUAAUUGAUGUAAUUCAGUGAAGAUAGUUGAAGAAACUAGUCUGAAUUUGUGUUAUAUUUACUUACCUAAAAUGUGUAUUGAAAUUACUUUGAUUCUUAAUUUUCUUCCAUUUACGAAAAUAUGGGUAAACGCGAAGUAUAUUGACUUCAUCAAAUAGCUGACUUCUCAUAUAUUUACUACCACAUAUGGAAUUAGAAAAAAAAUAUAAGUUCCACGUUAAAAUUUGUGAUCCAACACCUGAAACAGGUAUGAGAUUCUCACAAAUAUUCCUUCUUUCUCCUUUUUUAUUCAUGCCCAAGUGCGAAAGAUCAUAAGGGAUAAAUUCGUGAGAUUUAUGUGUGUCCAAUGUAGCAUUUUGUAAAUAUAUUACCCAACUCAAUUUAGUUCCUUCUAAGCAAUUAAUUGAUUUCCUAAAAGCAGAGUUCCAAAAUGUGCACUUCUAAAUUCAAACAAAUCAAAUGAUAACAUUGAUAAGUCUUCAGUCUUGUAUCUCAUGAUUAUUGAUUCCUUUAAUAGUUUUUUAUUUUAUUUUUGGGGUCAAUUGUUUUUUUGAUAAUUUGAUAUUGUGUUGUUGACAAAAGAACAAAAAAAAAAAAAAAAUGGAAAAAUCACAAUUAACAAAUAUAAAUAAACAGAGUUUUAACGAAACACUUUUGGUACUGUUUAUUUUUAACGAAAAGGACUUUACUCUAAAAAGUCACUCCUUGUACUAUUCACUUGCAACACAUUUUUGUUCUUUUGAUUAAAACUCAAAGUUUUCAAACUAUUUUCAUUAAUUUUCUUAUAAAUAAACGUAACGAACAAAUAUAUAUAUAGUCAAGGUUAGAAUUUUCGCAUGGGCACUGUCCAUCACUGAUCAUGCAGCAUGCUGACGGCUGAAAUGUAUGGAGGACGAUGGCGGUAAGCAGUGUGAGGUGAUGACUGUCGCAAUUGUGCACUGCCGUGUGACCGCCGGUAGGUCAGCCGCGGCGUGAGCAGUCUGCACGUGAGACCUGUGCGUAAAUUGCACAGAUGAUUAUGACUGGUUAUUCGCAUCCGUGGGUGCGAGUCCUUUUUAGGUUUUCUCGUGUUUUUUGCUCCACUUGUGUAUUUGGUGGACUUUCUCUUUUAUUUUGAAAACGAGUGUUAACAUUAAACAUGUGUAUAUGCAGUCCUUUCUCUAAAUUAUUUUAAUUUUUGAAUAUUGUAGAAGAAACACCUCAAUUUGCAGUCGCUUUUUAAUUCUUAUGACAUUCUCUGAUUUUUACACGACAUAUUUUCAUGUAAAUAGAAUGACAUAAACAAUGCCUGAAAAAUUGAAUUGAGAAAACAUAAAUUGAAAUAAUCUCUAAGUCACAAACAUACAUUGAAUUCCGUAAUCAAUCAAAAUUAAAAAUAACAAACAUAAAACAAUUUUUUUUUUUUUUUUGUAACAUAAGGGGACAGGUCACCCCAAAACUAACUCCAUAAAUUAUUAUAAGGCUAGCUAUGUCCUUGGAACUCAAUUUUAAUCUUAUUUUGUUCACUGGAAUUCAAAAGUCGUCACUUUACUCCCUGAAACUUAAAGUUCGCUCCACUUUGCCCUUGAAACUCGAUUUUGAUCCCAUUUUUGUCCUCUAAAACUCGAAAGUCGUCUCUAUAAAACUCUAAAUUUGCUCUAUAUUGCCUUAAAUUUAUUAAUUUCUUAUGUGGUUAAUUAAUUUGCUCUAUAUUGCCUUAAAUCUGUUAAAUUUUUUAUGUAGUUUUAAUUUGGGUAUGGUAGACUAAACAAUUUAUUUUUUAUUUGUUUCAUCUCUUAAAUUUCUUUAAACUUAAUAGUCUUUGAUUCUUGAAUAUUAACGCAUCAUGGAGAUUUAUAAUCAAAUUUAUUGCACAUAUGGCAUAGUCUUAUAGGGUGUUAGGUCGCACAUGUAGAAUUAUCAGAUAGACUGGCGGAAGCUCCACCUCCAACAACACCGAUAUUGUCCCCAACUUGGUAAUUACCACGUGCACAGUCUUUCAGGUGUGAGGUUUUAUCACAAAGGCUCGGUAUUAGUUGGAGCACAGUUAAGAUAUUUAAACUCUUCUUUUCUCAGAGAUACGAUCGAUGUAGGAUAUUUCAACACGCCCUCUCACGUAGGACCCAAUUUGUGGGUCACACAGGGGAGAUCCACACAUCUACAACCACGUGGAGCCAAGGGACCCACCAUCAUCGUGCGAGCCAAGGGGACCCACCCAUCACGUGGCAGUACAUCUUAAAUGUUAGGUAGACAGGUCGAGGGCCCACUUCAACAACAUUGAUAUUGUCCCCACUUGGCCACCUGCUCAAUCCGUCAGGUGUGAGGUUUUAUCACAAAAGGCCUUGGUGUAAGUUAGAGUGGGGUAAUUCUAUUUAAAGAGCUUGUUCUUAAGCCUUCUGGCUGAUGUGGGACAGAGGAAUUCUAAGACUCCCCCGCAUGUGAGACCCCAUUUUAUGGAUCACAAGCGCAGUUCCACACAUCAACAACCACGUGGGGCCAAGCCAGGGCUCACCCGUUCGUACUAGGCCAAUGGGGACCCACCCAUUCACGUGGCAUCUCUUGGCUUACGUGGAGCCAAGUCGGGGCUCACCCAUUUGUGCGGGGUCAAAGGGGACCCACCCGUUCAUGUGGAUGUAUAAGCUUGUCCCCUGGCUCUGAUACCAUCUUAAAUUUCAGGUAGACGGGCCGAGGGCCCAUUCCAACAACAUCAAUAUUGUCCUUACUUGGCCACCUGCUCAAUCCGUCAGGUGUGGGGUUUUAUCACAAAAGGCCUCGGUGUUAGUUAGAGUGGGGUAAUUCUAUUUAAAGAGCUUGUUUUCAAGCCUUCUGCCCGAUGUGGGAUAGAGGAAUUCUAACAAUACGAGCCCACUAUCUGACUCUAAUACCAUGUCAAAAUAUCUGAGAGACGGGCCAAAAGUCUACUUUCAACGAUACCAACCCAACUUGUUAAUUAUCACCUGCACAAUCCGUCAAGUGUGGGGUUUAUCACAAAAGGCUUGGGUAUUAGUUAGAGUAGGGUUAUGAUAUUUAAAUAUCUUCUUUUCUCAGAGAUAUGGGUAAUGUGGGAUAUUUUAAUACACAUAUGUUUUAGGAGGCAACCGAUAAGUUUCAGGGAGAAAAGAGAGUCCACAAGUCAAGGUGGAACGAAUUUUGAAUUUCAAUAAGUAAAGUGGUGACUUUUGAGUUCUUGAAGUAAAAUGAGAUCCAAAUGAAGUUCUAGGAGGAGUAGUUAAAAAUAAGUCUUAUUAUAAACAGUUCGAGUCCUAGAGUUUCCGAUCGUAUCAUCAAAUAAAUGAGUGUCAAUCUAUUCAUGCCCAAAUGCAAAAGAUCAUAAUGGAUAAAUUCUUGAGAUUUAUAUGAGUCCAAUGUAAUAUGUUGUAAAUAAAUUACCCAACUCAAUUUAAUUCCUUCUAUGGAUUUCCUAAAAACAGAGUUCCAAAAUGUGAAGUUUUCUAAAUUUGAACAAAUCGGAUGAAUAACAUUGAUAAGUUUUCAGUCUUGCAUCUCAUGAUUAUUGAUUGCUUUGAUAGGUUUUUUUUUUUUUUUUUUUGGGGGGGGUCAGUAAUUCCUCUGAUAAUUUGAUGUUGUGUUG